RNAcentral lists this ribosomal RNA (253 nucleotides) under uncultured bacterium. Its description in RNAcentral is "partial 16S ribosomal RNA". It matches the Rfam family "Bacterial small subunit ribosomal RNA", at positions 524 to 776 of the family's 1533-position model. The record is from RNAcentral.
UACAGAGGGUGCUAGCGUUGUUCGGAAUCAUUGGGCGUAAAGGGCGUGUAGGCGGUUUGUUAAGUCAUGUGUGAAAUCCCUCGGCUCAACCGGGGAACGACGCAUGAAACUGGCAAGCUAGAGUACCAAAGAGGGGGGUGGAAUUCCCGGUGUAGAGGUGAAAUUCGUAGAUAUCGGGAGGAACACCAGUGGCGAAGGCGGCGAUCUGGGUCGAUACUGACGCUGAGGUGCGAAAGCGUGGGGAGCAAACAGG